UAGGGAAUCUUCCACAAUGGACGCAAGUCUGAUGGAGCAACGCCGCGUGAGUGAAGAAGGCUUUCGGGUCGUAAAACUCUGUUAUUGAAGAAGAACGUGUGUGACAGUAACUGGUCAUGCAGUGACGGUAUUCAAUCAGAAAGUCACGGCUAACUACGUGCCAGCAGCCGCGGUAAUACGUAGGUGGCAAGCGUUGUCCGGAUUUAUUGGGCGUAAAGCGAGUGCAGGCGGUCUUUAAAGUCNGAUGUGAAAGC
Molecule: ribosomal RNA, 254 nt
Filed under: uncultured bacterium
Lineage: Bacteria
Description: partial 16S ribosomal RNA
Rfam family: Bacterial small subunit ribosomal RNA
Source: RNAcentral